Molecule: long non-coding RNA, 1630 nt
Organism: Macaca mulatta (Rhesus monkey)
Lineage: Eukaryota; Metazoa; Chordata; Mammalia; Primates; Cercopithecidae
Source: Ensembl
GCAUUAAUGUGGAACCCUAACCUGUAUUAUCAAGAUUUAUCAUAUUAUUCAUUGAAUUUGAGAAAAUCCUGUUUAUUGAUUUAAGCCUACUUUACUCUCCAAGUACCGUAUCCAGGGUGACCUAAUUGCAUAAUUCAGAAAAUUUGCACCUCUCCUUUCCCCAUGACCCUCCUUAAAAAAUGUCCAGACUUCAAAUUUCACAGGCCAAGUACAUCAAACCUAACUCAAAGCAAAUCAGGAUUAGAAUUCGUUUUCGAGCAGUGUAACAUAAAGCAAUGGGACACUGGAGCAGGACUCCCAUGUGGCGGCAUUUCUCAAAGUUCAGUAGAAGGGUAGCAACAAUUCCAGGAGCUCUACCUACCUUGAUGCCAACAUGUAUGCAUGUCUGUCUUCACAAUUAAUUAGUGUUUAAGCUUAAGGGUAUAGAUCAUGUUUCAUUGAACGUGUAUCUUUCAUGUAAUCUGGAAGGUUUUUUUUUUUUUAUGUGGUUACGUUUAUUUUUAAAACCUUGGGGCAUAUCAGAAUUCACAUAGAUCUAAGGACGAGGCACAGAGAGAAAGAGAUAGGUGGGAAGGUUGGGUCACAUCUUAUAAAUGUACACGGCUGCUUUUUCUAGGCAACCCACAUAAGCAACAAUUGCUUUCCUGAAAGAGUUAUGCUAUUUGUAGUUGCUACUGUCACAGUUUAACAAGGAGAGGGAGCUCUUAGAAGAUUCUCUAAAUUUGUUGCAAGAAAGUCACAGAAAGCUACCUUUCAAUGUCUGUUUGCUAUAGCUGAAGGGAAGACUGGUGGUAAACUGACCAACAACCAAAAUGAAAUAUGGAUAAACUGAGAGCAAGUAAACAAUAGGAGUUAAGAAGAUGAGGAUGUACGUGCCAAAGGGAGAGGGUAGAGAAACGAUUUCUAGCAUUCUAGGAGCUCCUGAUUUCCACGAUUGGACAAAAUUGGGAACUACUAAGAAGGUGUGGAGCUACUCACCACCUUCAUCAGAAGCUGUCAUAAUGGAAAUGGUGGAUUUAAGAUUCAGGAUUUACCUUCCAAUUCCAUAUGCUCUUUGACCACAUCCUAAGAAAGCUGUGAGAUUUCAGUAUCCCACUUUUAAGCAUUUGUUGUAAACAAGUCUGGCAGAUGGCCACAACACCUGGGACAAUUAAGCCCAAGGGAUGGUUGAGUAGUUUCUAAGGCAAGCAGAAUCUUCCAUCUGCUCAAAUGGCACUUUCGGGGUUUAAGCAAACCAGUGUUGGCUACUCAGGGUUGAUUCCCCUCACAAGCCUACUCUUCUGUCUUCAAAUACUUACUGGCUGCCCCUCUAAAAAGUAGAGAAAACAGGAAAGUAAAUAUUUACUCUAUUUCACAGCUGUCUAACUGUUGUAAAAUGGAUAACUUAGCUCUGCUGGGUUUAUCCUUAAGAAACAAGAUCAAACAGUUUUCAUGAAAUUCCGCUCACAUUUUAAAUGCAUGACUUAUUUUGGUUUAUUCUGUUCUAGAAUAUUCCAAAGCCAGAAUUAAAUGCUAAAGAAUCAGUUUGGCCAUUUAAAAGAUAUUGGUGCACUAUGUAACAGAUUGUGGCUACCAACAUUCUGAGUCAGUCUUUCCCCUCCAAAUGCCCUGCCUUCCCGUACACACAUCG